AUGCGUGCGGCCCCGGCUCCCCCGGGGCUCGCCGGCCUCGUGCGUGCGCACGCGCGCUGUCCCCCGGAGGCGUCUGGGUGUGCGGAGCGCGCGCGCGCGGCUCGGAGGCGCACCUGUGAGGUGUCCCUUGAGGAGAGAGAGGGAGGGUGGGUGCGUGGAGCCCGCGGCCUGGGGCGCUUCAACCCCUCACUUGGAAGCGCCUCGCGUCCCAGCAGAGCCCUGCGAGCAUCCUACUCAGGUGAUGAGGAACCCUUCGUGCACCCAGCGCAGAACGCCGCUGCCGCUGGACGCCUCCAUUGUUUGACCACAACAAGGGCCGGAUUCUCACCCAGACCUGCAAAUCCAAGAGACACCUCUCUGGAAGAUAAGAGCUUCUUUCUCAAGAUCAAAAAAGGUCUGUGUUGCUGCUGUCACAUUUACAUGAAAUUAAUUAUGGAAUCAAUAGCAGUUUUCCGGACAGAAAGGCAUUUUCAAUGUAUUCUGUUUCUGUUACAGGAGACGAGUGAUACCUCUGUAGGGAUCCUCAGGAGGAAGGCGACGUACUUGGAACCCAAGGAGCUUGCUUCCUGGGAAGGCUCCUGUCUGAUGUGGAGGAGGCAGAAUGUCCCACUGACUCUUCGAGGGGAGCUUACAGGGGAUCGAGACCAGCACGCAGUAUCUCACCCUCUACGACAAAGGACACCGUGCAGUCCUUUUCCUAGAAGUGAGAAGUCCGAGACUGUUCUAGAGGCAGAAGAUUCUAGGGGCUUAAAAACGCAAAGGGGAGGCCAUUCUUGCAUCAGAUUGGAGUGAGGUCCCCAGUGCUGGAACAGGCUGUGUUUAGAUUCUCAAAUAAACCUCGUCAUGUCACUUGGUGCUGUGUGCUUCUGUGUUUCAUUUCUGUGUCCCACUUCACUUCCCUGGAGUACAAAAUGAAGGGAAUAUGUCUUUAUAACGUCUAAAUCAUUUGAGCCAUCGUAAUGAAACCCGGCAGUUAGGCUGUUGUGUCCGAGCGUAAGCCCCUAACCCCUAGUUUUGGGCUGCAUCCCAUAGGUGUUGCAAUGAUACACUCUCAUGGUUACUGUUUUGUAAACCGUUUUUAUUGUUUCUUUUACCUGUUGGGCCCACGAGUUGAUUUCAUUUGUUUUCAAUUUUAUCUCUUUUUCAGUAAUCACUGUAAAUUUUCUGCUUUGAAGAACUCACACACACACACAUACACACAGACACACACACAUCAAUCAAACAAGGAGUCUUUCCCUGGGAAAAGUUGGAGGAGAAGGGACCUCCCCUCCAAAAAAAAAAAAAAAAAAUCACAUUUCAUACAAUUUUAGAAUUUUAAUUAGAAUAGAAAAAUAAGGUUAUUUUUCUUUCCCACCUGAGUUUGUAGACUGAAAUUUGUACCUACUACACAAGCUUGUGUGACAAUGAAUUACGGAGA
Molecule: long non-coding RNA, 1417 nt
Filed under: Rhinolophus ferrumequinum (greater horseshoe bat)
Lineage: Eukaryota; Metazoa; Chordata; Mammalia; Chiroptera; Rhinolophidae
Description: lncRNA (ENSRFEG00010019478.1)
Source: RNAcentral